Molecule: non-coding RNA, 134 nt
Filed under: Solanum pimpinellifolium
Lineage: Eukaryota; Viridiplantae; Streptophyta; Magnoliopsida; Solanales; Solanaceae
Source: RNAcentral
GAAAGCCCUAUGAUGGGAAAUUACCACGUUAGGUUUGGAGAGAGAUGGGACCGGUUAUAUAAUAGGGAAAGCAGAAGUAAGCUUUUUCUUUCAAUAGCCGGCCAAAUGACUACACGAUCAUCGGUCUACUCUAC